This 492-nucleotide ribosomal RNA is filed under the name uncultured bacterium. Its description in RNAcentral is "partial 16S ribosomal RNA". It matches the Rfam family "Bacterial small subunit ribosomal RNA", at positions 29 to 507 of the family's 1533-position model. The record is from RNAcentral.
AGUGAACGCUGGCGGUAGGCCUAACACAUGCAAGUCGAACGGCAGCACAGUAAGAGCUUGCUCUUACGGGUGGCGAGUGGCGGACGGGUGAGGAAUACAUCGGAAUCUACUUUUUCGUGGGGGAUAACGUAGGUAAACUUACGCUAAUACCGCAUACGACCUACGGGUGAAAGCAGUGGAUCUUCGGACCUUGCGCGAUUGAAUGAGCCGAUGUCGGAUUAGCUAGUUGGCGGGGUAAAGGCCCACCAAGGCGACGAUCCGUAGCUGGACUGAGAGGAUGAUCGGCCACACUGGAACGGAGACACGGUCCAGACUCCUACGGGAGGCAGCAGUGGGGAAUAUUGGACAAUGGGCGCAAGCAUGAUACAGCCAUACCGCGUGGGUGAAGAAGGCCUUCGGGUUGUAAAGCCCUUUUGUUGGGAAAGAAAAGCAGCAGGUUAAUACCCCGCUGUUCUGACGGUACCCAAAGAAUAAGCACCGGCUAACUUCGUG